CAGCCGCCGCGGUAAAACCAGCACCUCAAGUGGUCAGGAUGAUUAUUGGGCCUAAAGCAUCCGUAGCCCGUUUUGUAGUUUUCGGUUAAAUCCAUGCGCUUAACGUAUGGGCUGCCGGGAAUACUGCAUAACUAGGAAGUGGGAGAGGUAGACGGUACUCGGUAGGAAGGGGUAAAAUCCUUUGAUCUAUUGAUGACCACCUGUGGCGAAGGCGGCCUACCAGAACACGUUCGACGGUGAGGGAUGAAAGCUGGGGGAGCAAACCGGAUUAGAUACCCGGGUAGUCCCAGCUGUAAACUAUGCAAACUCAGUGAUGCAUUGGCUUAUGGCCAAUGCAGUGCUGCAGGGAAGCCGUUAAGUUUGCCGCCUGGGAAGUACGUACGCAAGUAUGAAACUUAAAGGAAUUGGCGGGGGAGCAC
This 419-nucleotide ribosomal RNA is filed under the name uncultured archaeon. RNAcentral's name for it is "bacterial SSU rRNA". It matches the Rfam family "Archaeal small subunit ribosomal RNA", at positions 459 to 879 of the family's 1478-position model. The record is from RNAcentral.